RNAcentral lists this RNase P RNA (383 nucleotides) under Ghiorsea sp. RNAcentral describes it as "RNase P RNA component class A". It matches the Rfam family "Bacterial RNase P class A". Rfam says of the family: Ribonuclease P (RNase P) is a ubiquitous endoribonuclease, found in archaea, bacteria and eukarya as well as chloroplasts and mitochondria. Its best characterised activity is the generation of mature 5'-ends of tRNAs by cleaving the 5'-leader elements of precursor-tRNAs. Lineage: Bacteria; Pseudomonadati; Pseudomonadota; Candidatius Mariprofundia; Mariprofundales. The record is from RNAcentral.
GAAGUGGCUCGGAUGGUCGCGCUAUGCGCUUGUGAAAACAAGUAAGUAGGGAGGAAAGUCCGGGCUGCAUAGAGUAGGAUGCUGGAUAACAUCCAGUGGGGGUAACCCUAGGAAAGUGCCACAGAGACUAGACCGCCAUGUGUUCGCACAAGGUAAGGGUGAAAGGGUGCGGUAAGAGCGCACCGCUUGGUUUGGUGACAAAACAAGGCUUAGGUAAACCCCAUCCGCAGCAAGACCAAAUAGGAAGUCAGAUGGUGCGGCUCGCACUUGGCUUCGGGUAGGUUGCUUGAGGCUGCUGGCAACAGUAGUCCAGAUGAAUGAUCAUCACUUUUGUUUGGCAACAAACAGGAGUACAGAACCCGGCUUAUAGAGCCACUUCGCAA